AUGAUUAUUCUACUUCUAAGCAUCUAUUUUAACAAUAUUCUUGUUUCAGGUUCUUCUUCAAGUGACCAAGUCGACCAGACUCCUGCUGACAUUUACACAAAAGGAGAGGAUGUUAAAGUCUACUGCUCACACAGCAUUCAAAGCUAUAACAAAAUCCUCUGGUACAAGCAGUCAAAGAAACAGCUACAAUAUCUGGGAUACAUGAAUAUUGACAAAGGUUAUCCAGAGACUGGAGUGAAUGUGACGAUGGAAGGGAAUGCAAAUAAAGGCGAGAACUGCACAUUAACGAUUAAGUAUCUCAAACUAAGCAGCAGUGGAGUGUACUUCUGUGCUGCUAGGACACGUGAGCACGAGGCUUACUUUGGAGCUGGAACUAAACUCACUGUUUUAGAAGAAAACAGUGCCGUCACUCCACCACAAGUACAAAUACUGACACCUUCAGAACACGAGUGCAGAAACAGCAAAGACAAAAAAAGGAAGAAGACCCUCGUCUGUGUGGCCUCUGGUUUCUACCCUGACCAUGUCAAAGUGUAUUGGCAAAUGAAUGAGAAAAAUGUCGCUGAUGGUGUGGCGACAGAUGAAGCUGCGCGUGAAGGAAAAGAUCACAACAACAAGACCGUGUACAAAAUCACCAGCAGGCUGAGAGUCUAUGCCAAACAAUGGGAAAAUCCUGGCAAUACCUUUAAAUGCGUUGUCAAUUUCUUCAGUGGCACUGUAUAUACAGAUUAUCCAGCAUUUAUUGACGGAGUUACGGCUGAGACAAAUUCUAUAUCAAGAGAGAAGUAUUUGACAACUACACAAAAUUUCAAGGUUGUCUACAGCGUGCUUACUGUCAAGAGCUGUGCCUAUGGAGCUUUCGUUGGAUUUUUGGUGUGGAAGCUUCAGCGUUUUGGUGGAAAGCAGAAGUACUGAGAGCUGAGCUGAAGCCUCAAAAAAUAACUCUGGGACAUGAGUUACCUUGCUCUCUGUAAAUAUCGUUCACAAACAUAGUCUAUUGUUAAAGUGCACACUGUUAAUCACCUGUUCAAGUUCUGCUGUGGAUUUUUAUGUGCUUAUUUGUCUUUAUAUAAUUAAUAACUGCUUUUCAAAUAGACUGAUGUCAAUUUCUUUAGAUACAAAGGGAUUUUCUGUGUGUAACUUGAUUUUCUUCUUAAUAAAAGUAUCUUAGAUUAUUUUAAA
Neolamprologus brichardi is the source of this 1179-nucleotide non-coding RNA. NCBI's taxonomy places the organism in Eukaryota, Metazoa, Chordata, Actinopteri, Cichliformes, Cichlidae. The record is from the annotation of a RefSeq genome assembly.